This is a non-coding RNA of Salvia hispanica, 2621 nucleotides long. The record is from RefSeq and is a predicted model, not a curated record. NCBI's taxonomy places the organism in Eukaryota, Viridiplantae, Streptophyta, Magnoliopsida, Lamiales, Lamiaceae.
UGAGAAGGAGAAAAAAAUCAGAUUUUAAUAAAGGAGCAAAUCUCGGCCAUAUCUCCAACAAACAUAUCUACCAACGUCUUAUAUCUCUUUCAACGCCACCAUUCUUCCAAAACCCUACCAAAGAAAACCGAGAGAGUUAGGAAUGAGAGAAAGGGCGUGGCGGUGGUGCCGUGUUGAGAAGAAGGCUGCAAAAGCUCCAACAGCGGGGCUGGACGGCGACGACUCCUACUCCGAUCAGCAGCCUCGCAACCGACGGACAACAGUAACGCGCUGAUGAAGCUCCGAGGAGGCAGCGGCGGCGGCGGUGUCACAACGAGGGGCUGGUGGAUCAAAGAGAGAGGGCUGGAGAUGGAGCGACGGCUGAGCAGCAACGUUAGUUCAGCGACAAUGAUAGAUGGAGGAGUGACAGCGGCGGUGCGAAGCUGAUCGGGACAGCGAUGGCCCAGCUUGUACGCUCGACGAAUCCCGAACAGCAGCGGCUGUUCUCAGCAGCAGCAAUCACGGCUGCUCAUGACGGACAGCGGCUACGAUGGCAGAGAAUUACACCGAACAGCAGCGGCGUUAAGCGCUGCCUGACGAUAAAUGGUGGACAGAGACGACGAGCCCAUGGCUGCGGCGAAAUCGCCGCUGUGAUUUCUGCAGCGAUGGCGUGGUGUUGAGCAAAUCGGAGCAGCGAUGGAGAGGGGGAAUGGCGUGAGGAAGUACAGGAGGGAGUAUUUGGGGAGUUUAGUUGCUGGAUUAGAAUGUUGAGAGAGAGACGUGGGGUACUACAGAGUUGGUUAAUGAUUUAAUUAGGAGACUUAGGCCGCUGGUUUAUUUGAGUUGGACUGGAAUUUGAAUACAAGAAUGACGAGAGCUUCGGCGGAGUUAAUACAUGGAUGAAUACGACGUUCUAAGAUUACGGGAAAAUUUCAGAAUCUUCUAAGUAAGAUCGAAGGAGUACAUCGAAUUAAUGGGUGACGUUGAGCAUGCUAUUUGAGGACGGAAUGAAACACACAUUAAGGCUUUAAACGAUCGAGGUUGAGCUGUGACGAGCGCGGUGGGUGUUGAGAGAGCUGGUGAAGAGUUGUGUUUGCUUUUAAAUAUUCCGAAUAUAUUAUGUCUUCAUACAUAAUAUGAUUCUUCUCUCGAAUGCUUCCGCUGAAUGUUGUUUCUUUCGAGUUCAUUUAUUGAUGAGAUAUUGUAUUCCUUUGAGUUGUUAGCUGUUGAGAUAAUACUCUGAUUUUAUUCGAAUUGCCCCUAUUAUUUCGAGCUAUGGUCGAGUUUCGUUUAUUUCCCCUUUCUUCCCCGCUUCUUUAAUCCUCCCCUAGUCACGAUCAACCGUGUUUUCUAUCCUUAGAAAAUGUGGUCGUGACAAAGAACCCUUGAAGAAGUUCCUACACACGUCAAAACUAAUCAUCUAUUUGAAUUAGUGUGUGAUAUUGCUAGAUCUGCAAUUGGAAGCCCAACAACUUCUGUUCAAUCGGUGGAAGAAAAGUGUGUAAAGUUGCCAUAGUCAUUUCUUCAAGACAAAGAUGAGGCAUUUGACAACUGUAAAAGAAUCUGUGAAUCAAUAGUUACUGUCGAAAAGAAAAAGGAAGCACUUGAAGAUUUGACUGAAUUUCCAACUUUCAAAUGGAGAGAUUGCUAUAACAAAACUGCUGAAGAAGAAAUACAUGAAGAACAAGAAAAGGAACAAGAACAAGGACAAGGAUCAAAAGAGGACACAUCAUGCGGUGUCAAUAAUGAAUCAGCGUCUCCUAUGUCACCAACUGUUCUAGAAUCUGAUAACAAGAGGAUUAAGACAGAAAAUCAGAAAGAUCUUGAAUAGGAAGAUAAGGAGAACCAAGAUGACGCACAUUUUGAAACGGACAGACAAAAUCCAUUGGAUAAAGAAGAUAAUAUUGUUGAGACUGCUGAUGAAGAAGUACAUGAAGAACAAGAUAAUGAAGAACAAGAAGAAGGAGAAGCAUCAAAAGAGAACAAAACAUGUGGCGUCAAUAAUGAAUCAGUGUCUCCUAUAUCUACACCUGUACUAGAAUCUGUACUAGAAUCUGAUAACAAGGGGGGUGAGAUAGAAAAUCAGAAAGAUCUUGUACAGUUGAAACAACUUGAAGAUAAGGAGAAUCAAGAUGACACACAUGUUGAAACGGACAGAGAAAAUCCACUGGAUAAAGAAGAUAAUAUUGUUGAGUUGACAGGAGAAAGAAACAGAAUACAUAUCCCUACAUCGCCAGUUUCUGAUCCUAAAGGGGCUGUUGAAGAAAAAGAAGAAGAAGGAACAAAAGAAGACACAGUGGGUGAUGACAAUAGUGAAUCAGCCUCUCCUAUCUCACCACCAGCUGCAGGUCCAAUGGAUGACGCACAUGUUGAAAUGAACAAAGCAAAGCAACAGGAGAAAGGAAAAGAGAAAGAAGAGAAUAUUGUUAAAGUAAAGUAACUGAAACUAAGAUUAAAUAGUAUAUUGUUUUUAUAAAAUGACUGAAUUGUUGUUGAAAUGGCUUGAAAGUGUGGUUGACAUUUGGUUAUAAUUGUUAUUGACAUGAUUUGUACGUGUAGGUAUCAUGUCUUAUAAUUGUUGUUGGCAUGAAUUUUAUUUGCUCUUAACAUGGUUCUGUGUGUAGCAGAUAUAGUACGUACAC